Molecule: ribosomal RNA, 504 nt
Filed under: uncultured bacterium
Lineage: Bacteria
Description: bacterial SSU rRNA
Rfam family: Bacterial small subunit ribosomal RNA
Source: RNAcentral
AGAGUUUGAUCCUGGCUCAGAUUGAACGCUGGCGGCAUGCUUUACACAUGCAAGUCGAACGGCAGCGCGGGGGCAACCCUGGCGGCGAGUGGCGAACGGGUGAGUAAUGCAUCGGAACGUAUCCUGUAAUGGGGGAUAACGUAGCGAAAGUUACGCUAAUACCGCAUACGCUCGAGAGAGGAAAGUGGGGGAUCGCAAGACCUCACGUUAUAGGAGCGGCCGAUGUCCGAUUAGCUAGUUGGUGGGUAAAGGCCUACCAAGGCGACGAUCGGUAGCUGGUCUGAGAGGAUGAUCAGCCACACUGGGACUGAGACACGGCCCAGACUCCUACGGGAGGCAGCAGUGGGGAAUUUUGGACAAUGGGCGAAAGCCUGAUCCAGCCAUGCCGCGUGCGGGAAGAAGGCCUUCGGGUUGUAAACCGCUUUAAUCCGGGAAAAAGGGGUGCGAGGAUAAUACCCUUGUGCUUUGAUGGUACUGGAAGAAUAAGCACCGGCUAACUACGUG